This 300-nucleotide ribosomal RNA is filed under the name uncultured Francisellaceae bacterium. RNAcentral's name for it is "bacterial SSU rRNA". It matches the Rfam family "Bacterial small subunit ribosomal RNA", at positions 114 to 419 of the family's 1533-position model. The record is from RNAcentral. Lineage: Bacteria; Pseudomonadati; Pseudomonadota; Gammaproteobacteria; Thiotrichales; Francisellaceae.
CGCGUAGGAAUCUGCCUUAUGGUGGGGGACAACAGUUGGAAACGGCUGCUAAUACCGCAUAUUAUUUUCGAAUAAAAGGUGGCACUUAGGUGCUGUCGCCAUGAGAUGAGCCUGCGUUGGAUUAGCUAGUUGGUGGGGUAAUUGCUUACCAAGGCUGUGAUCCAUAGCUGUUCUGAGAGGAAGAUCAGCCACACUGGGACUGAAACACGGCCCAGACUCCUACGGGAGGCAGCAGUGGGGAAUAUUGGACAAUGGGGGCAACCCUGAUCCAGCAAUACCAUGUGUGUGAAGAAGGCCUUA